This 234-nucleotide ribosomal RNA is filed under the name uncultured bacterium. RNAcentral describes it as "partial 16S ribosomal RNA". It matches the Rfam family "Bacterial small subunit ribosomal RNA", at positions 524 to 758 of the family's 1533-position model. The record is from RNAcentral.
GACGUAGGGCGCGAGCGUUGUCCGGAUUUAUUGGGCGUAAAGAGCUCGUAGGCGGCUUGUCGCGUCGACUGUGAAAACCCGCGGCUCAACCGCGGGCCUGCAGCCGAUACGGGCAGGCUAGAGUUCGGUAGGGGAGACUGGAAUUCCUGGUGUAGCGGUGAAAUGCGCAGAUAUCAGGAGGAACACCGGUGGCGAAGGCGGUCUCUGGGCGAUGACUGACGCUGAGGAGCGAAA